RNAcentral lists this ribosomal RNA (1361 nucleotides) under marine metagenome. Its description in RNAcentral is "bacterial SSU rRNA". It matches the Rfam family "Bacterial small subunit ribosomal RNA". The record is from RNAcentral.
ACAUGUGGGUAUCUACCCUUUGGCCUGGAAUAACACGAGGAAACUUGUGCUAAUACCGGAUAAGUCUUUACGGAGAAAGCUUUAUGCACCAUUGGAUGAGCCCGCACUUGAUUAGUUUGUUGGUAGGGUAAUGGCCUACCAAGACUAUGAUCAAUAGCUGAUUUGAGAGGAUGAUCAGCCACAUUGGGACUGAGACACGGCCCAAACUCCUACGGGAGGCAGCAGUGGGGAAUCUUGCACAAUGGAGGAAACUCUGAUGCAGCGAUGCCGCGUGAGUGAAGAAGGCCUUUGGGUUGUAAAGCUCUUUCGUCGGGGAAGAAAAUGACUGUACCCGAAUAAGAAGGUCCGGCUAACUUCGUGCCAGCAGCCGCGGUAAUACGAAGGGACCUAGCGUAGUUCGGAAUUACUGGGCUUAAAGAGUUCGUAGGUGGUUGAAAAAGUUGGUGGUGAAAUCCCAGAGCUUAACUCUGGAACUGCCAUCAAAACUUUUCAGCUAGAGUAUGAUAGAGGAAAGCAGAAUUUCUAGUGUAGAGGUGAAAUUCGUAGAUAUUAGAAAGAAUACCAAUUGCGAAGGCAGCUUUCUGGAUCAUUACUGACACUGAGGAACGAAAGCAUGGGUAGCGAAGAGGAUUAGAUACCCUCGUAGUCCAUGCCGUAAACGAUGUGUGUUAGACGUUGGAAAUUUAUUUUCAGUGUCGCAGGGAAACCGAUAAACACACCGCCUGGGGAGUACGACCGCAAGGUUAAAACUCAAAUGAAUUGACGGGGACCCGCACAAGUAGUGGAGCAUGUGGUUUAAUUCGAAGAUACGCGCAGAACCUUACCAACACUUGACAUGUUCGUCGCGACUCUAAGAGAUUAGAGUUUUCGGUUCGGCCGGACGAAACACAGGUGCUGCAUGGCUGUCGUCAGCUCGUGUCGUGAGAUGUUGGGUUAAGUCCCGCAACGAGCGCAACCCUCACUUUUAGUUGCCAUCAUUAAGUUGGGCACUCUGAAAGAACUGCCAGUGAUAAGCUGGAGGAAGGUGGGGAUGACGUCAAGUCCUCAUGGCCCUUACGGGUUGGGCUACACACGUGCUACAAUGGCAUCUACAACAGGAAGCAAAACGGCAACGUUAAGCAAAUCCCGAAAAGAUGCCUCAGUUCGGAUUGCACUCUGCAACUCGAGUGCAUGAAGCUGGAAUUACUAGUAAUCGUGGAUCAGCGUGCCACGGUGAAUGCGUUCCCGGGUCUUGUACACACCGCCCGUCACACCAUGGGAGUUGGUUCUACCUUAAGGCAAGGUUUCAAACCCUUGACCACGGUAUAGUCAGCGACUGGGGUGAAGUCGUAACAAGGUAGCCGUAGGGGAACCUGCGGCUG